RNAcentral lists this unclassified non-coding RNA (1122 nucleotides) under Hevea brasiliensis (rubber tree). Lineage: Eukaryota; Viridiplantae; Streptophyta; Magnoliopsida; Malpighiales; Euphorbiaceae. The record is from RNAcentral.
UGCUGCUAAGGGUCUAUCAUUUCUCCAUAGUGAUGAGGCCAAAGUGAUACAUCGAAACCUUAAGGCUUCUAAUAUUCUUCUUGAUUCAAACUAUAAUGCCAAACUCUCCGAUUUUUGGUUGGCCAAGGAUGGGCCAACUGGUAGUAAGAGCCAUGUUUCGACGCGAGUAAUGGGUACUAUUGGGUAUGCAGCACCAGAGUAUAUGGCCACAGGUAUCUUUCUUCUGUUCUCGACUUUGUUCAAAUCCAUAUUUGACAUUACUGGUUCUUGUUGAAAAAAUUGAUCCUCUGCUAUGUGCUUUAACUAUCAUCAUGCUAAUCAAAUGUUUAUGCAUCUGCUGAAAUAGUUGUCGAUUUGAUAUGAAUUAUGGCUUUUACCGACUUUUAUCUCACUUUGUUUAUUUCUUAUGAAGGUCAUCUAACUAAGAAGAGUGACAUAUAUAGUUUCGGGGUUGUACUUCUUGAAAUUUUAUCCGGCAGGCGAGCUAUAGACAAAAGCAAACCAUCCAGGGAAGAAAAUUUAGUUGACUGGGCAAGGCCUUAUCUUGGCAGCAAACGCAAAAUUUUCCAAGUUAUGGAUGCCCGACUUGAAGGCCAGUAUUCAUUGAAAGAUGCACUAAAAGCAGCUACUCUUGCAGUACAAUGCCUAUCAACAGAGCCAAAGUUUAGACCAGAUGUGGAAGAAUUGGUAAAAGCAUUGGAGCAAUUGCUCGAGUCCAAUGACAACGAGGGGUCUCGGGGCUCUCAAAGCGAAAACCCCCGAAAAAGGAAUCAAAGUUCAAGCAAUGGUCCUAAAUAUCGUAGGAGAAGUACUAAUGAAAUUUCUGGUAGAAAAGCUGUCUCUCAUCCAAAACCAACUGCUUCUCCUCUGCAUAAAUAGAAGAGUAAAAUAUGCAUGCUUUACUACUCGCUUCCAUCCAAAGAAAAUCAUGAAUUGCAUUGUAUGAAUAUAAAUGGUAUGUUACAUAAGAUAUGUUGUUGUACAGUUCUUCAUUUCCAUGAAAUCUAAAUUUGAUAUUUCUUUGAGGUGUUUUCUUUUCGCCUUUCGGUGGUGAUAAACAUGCAACUUCUGUAAAUUGUCAACAGCUUGUUAGUUGCAUUUGCACAGAUGAAAAUGUUUGCA